Molecule: long non-coding RNA, 222 nt
Filed under: Homo sapiens (human)
Lineage: Eukaryota; Metazoa; Chordata; Mammalia; Primates; Hominidae
Description: HSALNT0268099
Source: RNAcentral
UCAGCCUCUGCAGACAGAGCUGCAAGAUCCUCGAGGCCUUUUUAAUCCCCAGAAACAAGGGCAUAUGUGUGUCAUUUAGGUGUUAAAACAGACCAAAAUGUGUUCUCCCGCCCAGAAGCAAGCAAAGCCAACCCCAGCUGCAGUUCCCUGACAGUCCAGUGAAUUCAGCCAAAGGAAAUGGCCCCACAUGGAGGGCAAGUGACAGAAGACCUGAUGACUCCG